UACGUAGGGUGCGAGUGUUAAUCGGAAUUACUGGGCGUAAAGCGUGCGCAGGCGGUCUGUUAAGACCGAUGUGAAAUCCCCGGGCUUAACCUGGGAACUGCAUUGGUGACUGGCAGGCUUUGAGUGUGGCAGAGGGAGGUAGAAUUCCACGUGUAGCAGUGAAAUGCGUAGAGAUGUGGAGGAAUACCGAUGGCGAAGGCAGCCUCCUGGGCCAACACUGACGCUCAUGCACGAAAGCGUGGGGAGCAAACAGG
This 254-nucleotide ribosomal RNA is filed under the name uncultured bacterium. RNAcentral describes it as "partial 16S ribosomal RNA". It matches the Rfam family "Bacterial small subunit ribosomal RNA", at positions 524 to 776 of the family's 1533-position model. The record is from RNAcentral.